GAUGAAGAACGCAGUGAAAUGCGAUACGUAAUGUGAAUUGCAGAAUUCAGUGAAUCAUCGAAUCUUUGAACGCAUAUUGCGCUCUCUGGUAUUCCGGAGAGCAUGCUUGUUUGAGUAUCAGUAAACACCUCAACUUCCAUAUCUUUUUUGAAAUGGGAGUUGGACUUGAGUGAUCCCAACGCUUUUCCUCACCGAAAAGUGGCGGGUUACUUGAAAUGCAGGUGCAGCUGGACUUUUCUCUGAGCUAUAAGCAUAUCUAUUUAGUCUGCCUAAAAAACAGAUUAUUACCUUUGCUGCAGCUAACAUAAAGGAGAUUAGUUCUUGUGCUGACUGAUGCAGGAUUCACAAAGACGGCUUCGGCCGACUUUGUAAACUCGAUCUCAAAUCAAGUAAGACUACCCGCUGAACUUAAGCAUAUCAAUAAGCGAGGA
Molecule: unclassified non-coding RNA, 431 nt
Filed under: soil metagenome
Description: partial contains 5.8S ribosomal RNA, internal transcribed spacer 2, and large subunit ribosomal RNA
Rfam family: 5.8S ribosomal RNA (bases 1-120)
Source: RNAcentral